GAUGAACGCUGGCGGCGUGCUUAACACAUGCAAGUCGAACGGGAAAUAUUUCAUUGAGACUUCGGUGGAUUUGAUCUAUUUCUAGUGGCGGACGGGUGAGUAACGCGUGGGUAACCUGCCUUAUACAGGGAGAUAACAGUCAGAAAUGGCUGCUAAUACCGCAUAAGCGCACAGAGCUGCAUGGCUCAGUGUGAAAAACUCCGGUGGUAUAAGAUGGACCCGCGUUGGAUUAGCUGGUUGGUGGGGUAACGGCCCACCAAGGCGACGAUCCAUAGCCGGCCUGAGAGGGUGAACGGCCACAUUGGGACUGAGACACGGCCCAGACUCCUACGGGAGGCAGCAGUGGGGAAUAUUGCACAAUGGGGGAAACCCUGAUGCAGCGACGCCGCGUGAAGGAAGAAGUAUCUCGGUAUGUAAACUUCUAUCAGCAGGGAAGAUAGUGACGGUAC
RNAcentral lists this ribosomal RNA (449 nucleotides) under uncultured bacterium. RNAcentral describes it as "bacterial SSU rRNA". It matches the Rfam family "Bacterial small subunit ribosomal RNA", at positions 28 to 478 of the family's 1533-position model. The record is from RNAcentral.